AGAGUUUGAUCAUGGCUCAGAAUCAACGCUGGCGGCGUGCCUAACACAUGCAAGUCGAACGCGAAAGUUCCGCAAGGAAUUAGUAGAGUGGCAAACGGGUGAGUAACACGUGGGUGACCUGCCUUCGAGUGGGGGAUAACGUCCCGAAAGGGACGCUAAUACCGCAUAAUAUCCUGCCUUUUAAGAGGUGGAAAUCAAAGCCGGGGAUCGUAAGACCUGGCGCUUGAAGAGGGGCCCGCGUCCGAUUAGCUAGUUGGUGGGGUAACGGCUCACCAAGGCGACGAUCGGUAGCCGGCCUAAGAGGGCGGACGGCCACACUGGGACUGAGACACGGCCCAGACUCCUACGGGAGGCAGCAGUGGGGAAUUGUUCGCAAUGGGCGCAAGCCUGACGACGCAACGCCGCGUGGAGGAUGAAGACCUUCGGGUCGUAAACUCCUUUCGAUCGAGACGAAUGGCCUUCGGGUUAAUAACCUGAGGGAGUGACGGUACCGAGAGAAGAAGCCCCGGCUAACUCCGUGCCAGCAGCCGCGGUAAUACGGGGGGGGCAAGCGUUGUUCGGAAUUACUGGGCGUAAAGGGCUCGUAGGCGGCCAACUAAGUCAGACGUGAAAUCCCUCGGCUUAACCGGGGAACUGCGUCUGAUACUGGAUGGCUUGAAUCCGGGAGAGGGAUGCGGAAUUCCAGGUGUAGCGGUGAAAUGCGUAGAUAUCUGGAGGAACACCGGUGGCGAAGGCGGCAUCCUGGACCGGCAUUGACGCUGAGGAGCGAAAGCCAGGGGAGCAAACGGGAUUAGAUACCCCAGUAGUCC
This 809-nucleotide ribosomal RNA is filed under the name uncultured bacterium. Its description in RNAcentral is "bacterial SSU rRNA". It matches the Rfam family "Bacterial small subunit ribosomal RNA", at positions 8 to 796 of the family's 1533-position model. The record is from RNAcentral.